UACGGAGGGGGCAAGCGUUGUUCGGAGUUACUGGGCGUAAAGCGCGCGUAGGCGGUGCGGUAAGUCAGGGGUUAAAGGCUGCAGCUCAACUGCAGUAAGGCCUUUGAUACUAUCGCGCUAGAGUACCAGAGAGGAUGGCGGAAUUCCCGGUGUAGUGGUGAAAUGCGUAGAUAUCGGGAGGAACACCAGUAGCGAAGGCGGCCAUCUGGCUGGUAACUGACGCUGAGGUGCGAGAGCGUGGGGAGCGAACAGG
This 253-nucleotide ribosomal RNA is filed under the name uncultured microorganism. Its description in RNAcentral is "partial 16S ribosomal RNA". It matches the Rfam family "Bacterial small subunit ribosomal RNA", at positions 524 to 776 of the family's 1533-position model. The record is from RNAcentral.